This 1545-nucleotide long non-coding RNA is filed under the name Homo sapiens (human). Its description in RNAcentral is "HSALNT0366116". Lineage: Eukaryota; Metazoa; Chordata; Mammalia; Primates; Hominidae. The record is from RNAcentral.
CUCCGCGGGGCGCCGGCGUCUGCGCCAAGGCACGUUCUCCUGCUGCUCCAGAACUGCCACCUUCCAAGUCCUGAAGGAGGCCGUUUUCCUGUCAUUUGCACCUGGCCGGAGCCAUUCUGGAUGUUUUAAGGAAACGAGAAAACCAUUCUUUCCUCUUACCGGAUGAUGUGCGAUGUCAUUUGGAAACAAAGAAGGGCUCUGUUUCUUGGAGCCCCUGGGUUCUGUCUGCAAGAGGGGCAGUCAUGAGGCUUGCAAGGCAGGGAGUGGAAUCUCCUGUGCGAACCUCUUCUGUGCAGACACCUUCCCACCCAACCUCAACAGAGCCCUGUGGGCCUCCCACGCUGUGUAAGUGCGCGGACUCAUCUGAGUGCCACUAGGGGACACAGCCCAGAUUCAAGCUGGGAUCCCCAUAAUAUGUGCACCUGCAGCCAGGUGUGCCUAUAGAACCACAAAUGCGACAGGUGAGGGGAUCAUCUUAUUAUUUUCCUACUUCCGAGGCAGGACGGUACUUAAACCAUCUCAGACAGAUGGUUAACUGUCCUAUUUUAAAAUAUCUCUGGGGAGGACGAUUUCACAAUUCCCUGUGGCUGUCUGUUCUAGUAUUUAAUCAUGUUCAUUACCAGCGAGUUCUUCUUUAUGCCGGAUCUAAAUCUCCACCGUUGUGAUUUAAGUCUUUUUCCUUGAGGGUAGACGCUGUGGCUCUUCUGCUUCAGGGGAGGAGAGGAUUCUGGUGCUAAUUUUGCGGUCUUGUGAAUAAGUUAUCUCUUGUAACACCUUCUUUGGGGUUUAUUUUCUUUACUGGUAAAUGGGGUUGGAGGGUGAGUUAGGGAUGGUUCCCAAGGACUUCUCAAAUGUCAUAGCUUUUAGACAAGUGCUGCAUUGGUAUCGUGUGCAAUUCAAUACUUAGUGGAAAUAAUAACGCUUUGUUGCAUUGAAAAGCGUGUAGCUGAAAUCUGAAAUGAUGCCACGUAGACCUAGUCCAGAAAGCCAUCUAUCCCUUAGUGUCUGAGUGGGCCGUGGGAAGGAAUGAGCAGUGGAGUGGGCUGGGCCACUCACAGCUGGACCUUCCAGAAGUCACUUCAGGGUAGGCGCUCUGAUCAUCUAUUGCACAGAAAAGGGGAAUCAGGCUUUGUGGGUGCUGCCCCAGCCUCUAGCUCUGGAGAGCUCAGAAAUGAACACCCAGCAGAGGGCAGUUGUAUGGGACAGUGGAUUUUCAUCCUCCCUCCCCUUUCCUAUCUUUUUUUUUGAGACAGAGUCUUGCUUUGUCACACAGGCUGUAGGUGCGAUGUUGGCUCACUGCAACCUCUGCCUCUCGGGUUCAAGAGAUUCUCCUGCCUCAGCCUCCCCAGUAGCUGCGAUUACAGGCAUGCGCCACCACGCCCGGCUAAUUUUUGUCUUUUUAGUAGAGACAGGGUUUCACCAUGUUGGUCAGGCUGGCCUUGAACCCCUGACCUUGUGAUCUGCCCUCUUCGGCCUCCCAAAGUGCUGGGAUUACAGGCAUGAGCCACGGCGCCCAGCCUCCCCUUUCCUAUCUUUAAAAAGCAA